This 465-nucleotide ribosomal RNA is filed under the name uncultured bacterium. RNAcentral describes it as "partial 16S ribosomal RNA". It matches the Rfam family "Bacterial small subunit ribosomal RNA", at positions 28 to 507 of the family's 1533-position model. The record is from RNAcentral.
GACGAACGCUGGCGGCGUGCUUAACACAUGCAAGUCGAACGGAAAGGCCCCUUUGUGGGUACUCGAGUGUCGAACGGGUGAGUAACACGUGAGUAACCUGCCCUUGACUUCGGGAUAACUUUAGGAAACUGGGGCUAAUACCGGAUAGGAAUCCUUGCUGCAUGGUGGGGGUUGGAAAGCUUCGGCGGUUUUGGAUGGACUCGCUGCUUAUCAGCUUGUUGGUGGGGUAGUGGCUUACCAAGGCUUUGACGGGUAGCCGGCCUGAGAGGGCGACCGGCCACAUUGGGACUGAGAUACGGCCCAGACUCCUACGGGAGGCAGAAGUGGGGAAUAUUGCACAAUGGGCGGAAGCCUGAUGCAGCAACGCCGCGUGCGGGAUGACGGCCUUAGGGUUGUAAACCGCUUUCAGCAGGGGCGAAGCUUGUGGUGACGGUACCUGCAGAAGAAGCACCGGCUAACUACGUG